Molecule: small nuclear RNA, 104 nt
Organism: Nannospalax galili (Upper Galilee mountains blind mole rat)
Lineage: Eukaryota; Metazoa; Chordata; Mammalia; Rodentia; Spalacidae
Source: Ensembl
GUGCUGGAUCUGGCAGCACAUGUAGUGAAGGUGGAGCUACUGGAAGAUUAGUAUGGCUCCUGCACAAGGAUGGCGUGCGAAUUCAAGAAGCAUUCCAUAUUUUU